AGUGAGGCGCGCGCCGGGCGGGGCGGGCGCGCCAAGGGUUCCCCGCCCUCCCGCCGGUCACAAGACCGGGGUCACGUGGGCGUGACGGGGCGGGGCUGAGGGCGGGGCCUGGGAGGGCGUCUUAAAGACGCCGCGGCGGGCUGGCUGGUGGGGUGUUGUCCUCACUCGGUCCCGCCCCAUGUUGGAUCUUGGACUUCCAGAGAAGUUCUGACACCCUGCCCCGGCCGGAUACCCAACAAGAUCCUGGCCAUCUUUAGGCCUGUGUUUGCUGAUCAAACCCCACUGCCUCUGGUUCCCCAGGAGGGCCUCUACUUAAGGACUCUGUCUCAUGAAUCUUGAGUCAAGAGCUCAAGUUCAUCUUCAGCUACACAGAAAGUCUAAGGACAGAUACAUGGACUGGUGGACGGACGGGAGCAAAGCCAGCCUCUGAGUCUGAGCCCAGAAGAGGAAGUGUAAGAAACAGACGACGGCUGUGGGAUUCCCCCGGGUUGGGGUUUGAACAGACGAGAGGAAGAGUUAGAGUGACCGUGGAGCCCUGUGGGACAGUCCUGUAGCCUCCGGGCAGAAGGGAGAAUGUUCUGAAGGCGCCUGUCUCCCCCGUUUCCAGCCUCAGGCUAAUGAAACAGUGGACCUUAAGGAAUUGGAAUUUGCCGGGAAAUCUCAUUCUAUGGCAUUGUGGGAAGUGAUCCCCGAGUGCUUGAGGGCAUGGUCCCCAGUUGGUGAACUGUGUGGAGAGGAUUUAGAGGUACAGCCUGGUGGGAGGUGUGCCACGGGAGGUGGGCCACGCGAGGUGUGCCACUCGAGGUGGGCCACGAGAGGUGGGCCACGCGAGGUGGGCCACGGGAGGUUUCCAAAGCCCACGGCACUCCCAGUUAGCGCUCUCUGCCUUGUCCUCGUGGGUCAGAUGCCAGCCCUCAGGUCCUACUGCAGCCCGUGCUGCCUGGCCACUGCCACGCUUUCUCACCGCGACCUCAUGGACUCGUCUCUGAAACCAUAAGCUCCCCCAGAAACUCUUCCAUAUAUCCUCUUAGUGUCUCUUCACAGCAAUAGGAAAGUUAAUUUAGCCGGGCAGUGGUAGCGCACGCCUGUAAUCCCAGCACUCUUGGAGACAGAGGCAGGCAGAUUUCUGAGUUCGAGGCCAGCCUGGUCUACAGCGUGAGUUCCAGGACAGCCAGGGCUACACAGAGAAACCCUGUCUGGAGUAAAAAAAAAAAUAAAAAAAUAAAAAUAAAAAUAAAUCCAAAAAAGAAAGUUAAUUUAGACACUGGAGAAAGAGAAGGCUGAAGGGCUGGAGGUUUAGGCAGAGCGAGCUUCUGGAAGAAGUCCAUCACUGGGGCUGGCCCUGAGCUUGAAAGGCCCUGUCCAGUUUGCCCUCUCUGCUUCAUGCACCACUGAGGACAUGAACUCUUGCUCCGGCUGCCACGCCGGCCGCCGGCUGCCACACUCCCCAGCACAGUGGGACCCUCCUAUGGCUCCGGGAACCACAGGCCAAGGCUAAAUAAACCUUCCUUGGUGAUGGUGCUCUACCUCAGCGAGGGCGGACCCCUAACUAAUGUCGCGGAAGGGAGAGACUUAAGGGUCUCAGCAUUAGCCAUAAUUAUCAUUUUGGUUACUCUCAAGUUACAUCUCAAAGGCUUCCUCUCCCUUGUUCCUUCCACCCCUUGCUCCCAACCCUGUCUCUGAGACAAGGUCUUAUGUAGCCCUCCCUCUGUGUAGCCAAAGAUGACCUUGAACUUCUAAACCUCCGGCCUUUACCUCCCAAGCGCUGGGCUUACAGCCAUGCACCGCACAGUCUGUGGUGUUGAAGCCGGGACUCAGGGCUUCAGGAUGGUGGCCGCCAACCCUGCUACCUAUUGGCCGGAUCCCCACCCGGCUAGUUUCUGAUAAGCAAUUCCCCAGGGCGGCUGGGCAGGUAACUUACACGGAGUCAAGCCCUGAUAAGGUGAAGCCGGGAGGUCCUGGGGUCCCACAGGGCUUUAGCACACACCUUUUACCGUGGUGGGGAUUCUGGGGAGAUUCCUAGAAAAUUGCCGGUUACAGCUGGGAAGGGAGAAGGGCCUUAAGGAGAUGAUGCUAACUGUGCUGGGAUGUUUGCUUCUCAGCUGGAGAGGGGCUGCAAGCAGGUGUCUGGACGAGGGAUCUUUUCGUCCCCUUGUCCCCACGAUAGCCCUGGCUUUGUAUCCUGUCUCACCAGAGACCAGAAGUUAAAACUCUGGGUGUGGGCAGGGCCUCAUUUCCUCCAAAGGCGCAGUGACUCCGGGUUCCUUGGCACACACAACUGAAAUGUCUUUAGUUCUCUCCUGUGGCUCUCUGGGUCACCUCCGUAAGGACACGAGUCAUUGUUUGCAUUUCGGGCUCAACCUUGAUACAGCUCUGUCACUUACAUGCACACAUUCUCACCCCUUACCCCUCCCACCGUGCGCCCUCGGGAGGCGAGACCCAGCUGCCCUGUGUUCCUGGCAUGGCUGGAGACAAGACAUUCUAAAGGGUUUUCCCUUCAGCUAUUACAUUAUAGACAUAUAGCUAUUACAGUGGUCUCCAGAGAAUUGGAAUCCCCCACCUCCUCACCUCCCACCCCCACCCAGGAGGGAAACGUGCCAGCCAGAGGGGGGUCUUGUAUGAUCAAUGUCAGCCCACCAUGCCAGAGAGAUUAGAAGCUGAGGUCAUGUUGGGUCAGGGACAGACAGGGCCAUACCUUGACCAGGACAGAUUAGCUACGUGGAACUCUCAGCCCCUAUUUAAACGGAAGCCUCAGAAAUUAAAGAUGCCUCUCUUAGGAGGAUCUGGGUUCAAUUCCUACCUCCCACUUGGCAGUUCUCAACCAUUUCUAACUCUCGUCCCAAAGGAUCUGAUGCCCUCUCCUGGCUGCUGGGAGAACUGCAUGGCGUGUGGUACAAGGCAGGCAAGACACCCAUUCACAUAACAUAAAAAAAUCAAAACUAUGAUUAUGUCGGGAUUCUGAAGGUGGGCAUUGGGGCCACUGGACAUCUUCAUUUGUUCCUCUCCUCAGUGAGGCCACACUGAAUAAAACCUGUGCCUGCGGUUCACUGUCACACGUCUCUUUAAUUGGCAUAUUGGAGACUGCAUGGGAGCCUAGCUCGUCUGGGCUUCUCCAACCGUAAAAACUCC
Molecule: long non-coding RNA, 3129 nt
Organism: Apodemus sylvaticus (European woodmouse)
Lineage: Eukaryota; Metazoa; Chordata; Mammalia; Rodentia; Muridae
Exons: 3
Source: RefSeq, a predicted model, not a curated record